CUACGGGACGCUCCAGGCGCGAAACCUUUACAAUGCACGAAAGUGUGAUAAGGGGAUCCCAAGUGCCUUGCUUUUAGCAAGGCUUUUGUUAUGUGUAAAUAGCAUGACGAAUAAGUGGUGGGCAAUACCUGUGCCAGCCGCCGCGGUAACCCAGGAGCCACAAGUGGCAACCACUUUUAUUGGGCCUAAAGCGUCCGUAGCCGGUCUGGUAAAUUUCCUGUGAAAUCGUUGGGCUUAACCUAACGUCGUGCAGGAAAGACUACUAGGCUAGGGACCGGGAGGCGUCAGAGGUAUUCCUGAGGGAGCGGUAAAAUGCUAUAAUCUCAGGAGGACCCCCUGUGGCGAAGGCGUCUGACGAGAACAGAUCCGACGGUGAGGGACGAAAGCUAAGGGAGCAAACCGGAUUAGAUACCCCUGUAGUC
Molecule: ribosomal RNA, 422 nt
Filed under: uncultured archaeon
Lineage: Archaea
Description: partial 16S ribosomal RNA
Rfam family: Archaeal small subunit ribosomal RNA
Source: RNAcentral